UACGGGAGGCAGCAGUGGGGAAUAUUGGACAAUGGGCGAAAGCCUGAUCCAGCCAUGCCGCGUGUGUGAAGAAGGUCUUCGGAUUGUAAAGCACUUUAAGUUGGGAGGAAGGGUAUUAACCUAAUACGUUAGUACUUUGACGUUACCGACAGAAUAAGCACCGGCUAACUCUGUGCCAGCAGCCGCGGUAAUA
Molecule: ribosomal RNA, 193 nt
Filed under: uncultured Pseudomonas sp.
Lineage: Bacteria; Pseudomonadati; Pseudomonadota; Gammaproteobacteria; Pseudomonadales; Pseudomonadaceae
Description: partial 16S ribosomal RNA
Rfam family: Bacterial small subunit ribosomal RNA
Source: RNAcentral